Colius striatus (speckled mousebird) is the source of this 2760-nucleotide RNA transcript. It is a transcript of the gene named nuclear pore glycoprotein p62-like, with no coding region annotated. The record is from RefSeq and is a predicted model, not a curated record. NCBI's taxonomy places the organism in Eukaryota, Metazoa, Chordata, Aves, Coliiformes, Coliidae. The transcript has 16 exons.
GCCGGGGCUGGGCCUGGCUCCGGGGCUGGGGCUCCGUCCCGCAGCAGCCAUGAGCUUCGGCUUCGGGUCGGGCGCGGCGGGCAGCGGCUUCGGUUUGGGCACACCGAAGACGACCGGCACCACGGCCACGACGGGCUUUUCGUUCUCCACGCCCGCCGCUUCGGGGGGCUUCAGCUUCGGCAGCACGGCCCAGACGCCGGCCAGCAGCCAGCCCUUCUCCUUCAGCAAGCCGGCCGCCGCCACGCAGCCCCCCAGCUUCAGCUUCGGGACGCCGACCACGGCGACUGCGGCUCCCACAACCACCGUGUUCCCUCUGGGGAUGAAUGCACCAAAGUUAAGCUUUGGAGGCAGUGCUGCAACACAAGCUACUGGAAUCGCAGGGGGCUUUGCAUUUGGUAGGUCUGCACCAACCAGCGUGGCCUCGAGUCAAGCAGCAGCCCCUACUGGCUUUGUGUUUGGAUCUGCUGGCACCACCACCAGCAGCAGCAGCAGCACCACCACAGCUCAGUCUGGGACAACUGGAGGAUUUACUUUUUCCAGUGGUAGCACAACUCAGGCUGGCACAAGCACCUUCAACAUCGGCACCGCAGCUCCCCAAGCACCAUCCACCGGGCUGACCUUUGGGACAGCAACUGCUGCCACCACUGCUGCCACCUUGGGAACUGCAACCCAGUCAGCAGCCCCCUUCAGCCUUGGGGGACAGACCACAGGUCUAAGCUUUGGAUCAUUGACUUCAACAGCAGCCACUAGUGCACCCACAGCAACGCUGACUGCCAGUAGCAGCCAGGGACCUACUCUGGCCUUUGGAAGCAAACCUGGAGUAACAUCCACAGCUGCCACAACUGCAGCCACCACCACAACCUCCAUUCUUGGCACAACAGGGCCUACCCUGUUUUCAUCUAUAGUGAGUUCUUCAGCACCGACGUCGUCUACCGCCACAGGCCUCUCACUUACUGCCCCUUCCACUGGGACAGCCAGUCUUGGAUCACUUGGCUUUGGACUGAAGGUUCCUGGAACAACAGCUGGUACAACAAGCACUGCCACUAGCACUACUACUGCUUCUGGCUUUGCUUUGAAUCUUAAGCCAUUAACUACAACUGGUGCCAUUGGAGCUGUGACUUCUGCAGCUGCCAUCACCACCACCACAGCCAGCAGUGCCCCUCCAGUGAUGACUUAUGCCCAGCUGGAGAGUUUGAUAAACAAGUGGAGCCUGGAACUGGAAGACCAAGAGAAACACUUCCUUCACCAAGCCACACAAGUGAACGCCUGGGAUCGGACGCUGAUAGAGAAUGGAGAGAAGAUUACUUCAUUACACAGAGAAGUAGAGAAAGUGAAACUUGAUCAGAAGAGACUGGAUCAGGAGCUAGACUUCAUUCUAUCACAGCAGAAAGAGCUUGAAGACUUGUUGACCCCUCUGGAGGAGUCUGUGAAGGAACAGAGUGGGACCAUCUACUUGCAGCAUGCGGAUGAAGAACGGGAGAGGACCUUUAAACUGGCUGAAAAUAUCGAUGCUCAGUUGAAGCGGAUGGCACAAGACCUGAAGGACAUCACUGAGCACCUGAACACAUCCCGAGGCCCAGCAGACACCAGCGACCCGCUUCAGCAGAUCUGUAAAAUCUUGAAUGCUCACAUGGAUUCACUGCAGUGGAUUGACCAGAACUCAGGCCAAAAGCAUGUGGAUCCUGCAGGAAAGCCUCCUGGAGCUACUGCAGGACCUAGAUGACGAGGUGGUUGAAACGACCCUCUCCUUGCUCAAAAUGAUGCUCCAGGCUGCCAACAGCCCAGUUUGCAGCACCCUCGUUCUGGAGCUGACUGGGAGGCUCCAGCCACUCUUUCACCACACCACCAGCAGUGUGCAGCUGCUCUCCCUUGAGCUCUUCCAACGUCUGAUGCAGUCUGUCAACAAAAAGGAAAGACAGCCGAUGAAGACACGGGUGUAUGAGAACGUGAUCGAACUGCUCUGCCUCCUGCAUGCCGAGAGCCCGGAGGUGGCAGAGGCCUCUCGGGUAACCCUGCUUGGAGCUGCCGCCUUCCUGAAGAAGAGGAGGCUCAGAAAGCUCCCGGAGAAGAGGAAGACAUUGGAAGUGGGCAAUGUCCCCUGUCCGUCUGCAGCUGUCAGGGUGCGGCAGCAGAGCCGCGCACUAUGUACAGCAGGCAGCGCGGUGCCUUUGGAGCCAUCAGCAGCCCAUACGAGAGGCGGCCGUCAGGUUCCUGGGGCUCGCCGGGCAGCACCUGAGGGGGCAUCAGGAAUUGCUGCAGCCCAUCCAUGAGGCCCUUGAAAACCUGCCAGAAGACACCGUCUCGUCAGUAGCAAACCUGGCAGCUCAAACGCAGUGCACCCUGAGAGAUGCAGAGAGAGCAGCUCCCUCCAGACUCAGCCUGCGAGAGUGGCUCCGCAGGGCCUGGAGCAGACGGCCUUCUCUCUGGGCCCGUCGCUGACCGGGCAGCUGCAGCUCUGAGCGGGGCCCAUGCCAGGGGCUAUUCCAUGAGCUCCUCCCUGUGCUCCAUGGCAAACCUUGGACCUACCAGCAGUUUUCUUUUGCAUCGUUGCUCAGUAGUUUAGACACCGAGUUUAGCACUUGGGUUUCUUCCAGUUUGUGUACGUUUGAUUUUCUGGCUUUCUUCACCCUGUGAGAACCAUUUUCUACAGCUGGAAACUCUUUGUUACCCUUCGUGUCAACAAAACUGGAUUUGUUCCGUGUUGUUUGAGGGACGCAAAGUGCUUUGGUAAAAACAAUAAAGCUCCGUCAUCAAACCUUA